Molecule: microRNA, 21 nt
Filed under: Rattus norvegicus (Norway rat)
Lineage: Eukaryota; Metazoa; Chordata; Mammalia; Rodentia; Muridae
Description: rno-miR-3542
Source: miRBase by way of RNAcentral
AAGGCUCUUCUUUCCUUGCAG